This 460-nucleotide ribosomal RNA is filed under the name uncultured bacterium. RNAcentral describes it as "partial 16S ribosomal RNA". It matches the Rfam family "Bacterial small subunit ribosomal RNA", at positions 338 to 795 of the family's 1533-position model. The record is from RNAcentral.
CCUACGGGUGGCAGCAGUGAGGAAUAUUGGUCAAUGGACGUGAGCCUGAACCAGCCAAGUAGCGUGAAGGAUGACUGCCCUAUGGGUUGUAAACUUCUUUUAUAAGGGAAUAAAAUGAGUCACGUGUGCCGUUUUGUAUGUACCUUAUGAAUAAGGAUCGGCUAACUCCGUGCCAGCAGCCGCGGUAAUACGGAGGGUCCGAGCGUUAUCCGGAUUUAUUGGGUUUAAAGGGAGCGUAGGUGGGUUGUUAAGUCAGUUGUGAAAGUUUGCGGCUCAACCGUAAAAUUGCAGUUGAAACUGGCAGUCUUGAGUACAGUUGAGGUAGGCGGAAUUCGUGGUGUAGCGGUGAAAUGCUUAGAUAUCACGAAGAACUCCGAUUGCGAAGGCAGCUUACUGGACUGCCACUGACACUGAGGCUCGAAAGUGCGGGUAUCAAACAGGAUUAGAUACCCUAGUAGUC